AGGUUUCACGAGAAACUCUUUCUCAUGUAAGAUAUGGGGCACCAAAGAGGAUAAGGAUAAGGUGCAUGGAUUGGUUGCUCAUUCAAAUUCAAAGUUUCUUUUGAAUUUGAAUGGCCAACCAACCAUCCUUAUCCACCUAUAUGGUUCACAAAUGUGGGGCAUGGGAAGGGCUUUGCAUGAGAGAAAAUUCAUGAGAAGUUGCUUCUCGUGAAUUCAAAUGGGCGCAGAGAUAUCAGGUGGUGCAGGGAGUUUGGGUCAAGGUGGUUUCUCAUUUUAAACUAACCUAAUUGAACCAAUUUAAUUAAAAUAAGCUAGGCCCAAUUAGACUAAUUUAAAUCUAACUUAAUUAGGCUUAAUUAGGCUCAAUAAAAUCUUAAUCAAAUCAGGAAUUGACUAAGCCCAACCCCUGAUCAAAUCAGGGACCAAACCAUCUCGACGAUUAGGUCAAAUCUUAACCUAAUCGGGUCAAACCCAACUGAAUCCAAUUCAAUUGGACUUGAUCCAAAAAUAAUUACUCAAUCAAAUUG
This 527-nucleotide long non-coding RNA is filed under the name Elaeis guineensis (African oil palm). RNAcentral's name for it is "long non-coding RNA (EGUI_LNC040044)". Lineage: Eukaryota; Viridiplantae; Streptophyta; Magnoliopsida; Arecales; Arecaceae. The record is from RNAcentral.